CCACACUUCGUUCACUGAAGAGGGAGAGAGGCGACGCGGAGGGCGAUCGCUAGGGUUUGCCAAGCCGUCACCUUGGUCGCCCCCGUCGUCGUCAAAUUGGCCGGUUCCGCGAGGCCACCCACUCCCCCUACUCUGGCCACGAUUCUCCACUCCUUCGUCCACAACAAGUUCUGAAAAUAGCACCUCUUCUCCUAAAUCCCUGGCUGCGCCGCCCGAAGCUCUAUUGGUACCAGCUUCGAACAAGUCUAUUCCAGCCCCAUCUAGUACCACUUCACAGGUCCGGGAUCCAUUUUGAGACGCGGAGGUUUCUAGGAUCACAUCUUCUAUGGCAACCAUGUAUCGCUAGACUAUAUUAGGUGGGACUGUCUCAAAUCCACAGUAAAGCAUUGCAAACCUCCCAUAUCAUACUAUGUAUACACCAUCACACACUUGGCAGUCAUCAGAGGGAAGAGCAAGAUGGAUUACAGUGAGGCCUACGUCAAAUAUUAUCUCCGACAUCCCAUGGUUGUGCGUGUCACCACCAAAAUUUUUGAAGGUUCUAAAAAGGUCUUGUUCAAGAUGGGCAAGAAGGACGGGCAUGCGAUCACGAGAAGAACUGGAGAGAAGUCGUUGAGGGCACCAAAAUGAAAGAAGAUCUUAUGGCUAUCUUCAGGUUCAUGGAAAGGAGGGGAGGUGGGCUUAAGAUGAACAUGGCCAGUGGCAUGAAGAUUCGUUGACCCAUGUGAAGAACCAUGACUGAAUGAACUAGUUUGAUGCUAGUUGUUAUAAUAUGUAUGUACUAGCCAGUAACUAUAAGUUGGUAGUGUCAGCUUUUGGGUAGAGUAAGUGGAACUUACUAGUAAUUGGUACUUGGUGGUAAGUAGUACUUUGGUAGUAUAACUUUUGGGUCCGACUGGAUAUGAACAUCAGCUAGUAAGUCGAACUUGGCAGUAACUGGUUGGUGGUUGUAUGAACUUAUGUGGCGUAAUGUUCUUGGUAUGCAAGUCUAUAUAU
Hordeum vulgare subsp. vulgare (domesticated barley) is the source of this 993-nucleotide long non-coding RNA. RefSeq lists it as uncharacterized. The record is from RefSeq and is a predicted model, not a curated record. Lineage: Eukaryota; Viridiplantae; Streptophyta; Magnoliopsida; Poales; Poaceae. The transcript has 3 exons.